CGUAACAAGGUCUCCGUUGGUGAACCAGCGGAGGGAUCAUUAUAGAGUUUUUUAAACUCCCA
Molecule: ribosomal RNA, 62 nt
Filed under: Pestalotiopsis yanglingensis
Lineage: Eukaryota; Fungi; Ascomycota; Sordariomycetes; Amphisphaeriales; Sporocadaceae
Description: partial 18S ribosomal RNA
Source: RNAcentral